CAUUUUGUGUAAGUUCACUACAUGGUAACCCCACAUUUGCCUGAAUAUAUUCCCCAUGAAUUCCUGACUAACAUCCUAAACAGUGGAUAAAGACCUAUUUUAUCACCUCAUGACUUUGAUUUCAUUAAGAAACCACAGAAGAUUGGUAGCAUUGAGCCUCCAUGUUCUCACUGGUCUUGAAGGAAGGGUUCUCCUGUGGUCCUGUAUCAUGUCACCCACUGCCUCCUCUGCAAAGCCCUCCUGCUCUCUCGGCACAGGUGAAUAAGCAGCCACUCCCCUGAGGAGCCAGCAGGACCCACCAGACACUCCUUUACUCUUGUGGGAAUGCACGGAAGGACUGAGAGCUGUGCAAAAUCUGUCUGGUCAGGCACGGUUUGGGCUGUUGAGAAAACGCUUGCAUUUUCCUCCCAGUGCCUCUGUGCUUGGAGCCAUCUGCCACCUGCCUCCUCACUGGGGGUUCUCUGUUUGCUGGGAAGGGGAGGCUUGGAAGCACAGGAUGGAACAGCUGUGCUGUCCUUGGGCUCAGCUGCACACACUGCACAUUGUCCUGCUCUCCAAGGCAGUGGGAAAGUGUGUGGAAGCAGCAGGAAAAAGUCCCAAGCAACCUUUUAUAGAGAGCCACAGUUAAGUUUAAGAUACGUUCAUUUCGUCCUUCCAGUCCAGCCCUGCCAAAACCCACCCUGAGCAAGACUGGAACUGGGGAAAUGGGAAUCAAAACCCUUCCACUGGCUGUGAGGCAGGAGAGACUCCAUGAGCAGCUGGUACAAACUUCAUGAUCUGAACUGCAGGGAUGCAUCCCCUGCCUUUGUGGAAACAAUCUGCGCAGCUGAGAUAGAAGGAUCAGGGUGGGCAAGGACAGCCCCAAGCUCUGCCAUGGCCUGAGCAGCUUUAUAAGGGCAACAGGAUGAGGAAAAGGCACUGCUAAGCUGGGUUCUGCUGCAGAACAGAAAAUGCAUUGUUAGUAAAUCAGACUUUGGAACUGCUUAAGACUUAAACACAGCUUCAAUUAAUUAACCUUUCACAGCACAACACAGCCCCAGAGUGAAUACAACACUAUUCAGUCCCCUGACUGCAGAUUUUGUUGCAAAAUAAACAAGUUUUUCCAGGGCUGGGCUUGAUAGUGCUGAUCAAGAGGUUGGGCUGGGUUCAAAGUCAUCUCAAAGUCCUAGUGGGGAUACGAAAAUGGUUGUAACACCUAGAGAAAAUUACCUUUAGCGAAAUAUUUGUACACAGCACAUGUUAUAAAGCCCCAAAUGGUGUGACAGAGGUGCUCUUUAAUAAAUUCUAUGAGCAUGUUUCCCAGCAGUGUGAACCUUGUGGGGUUUGGUUUUUAUUGCCUUAUUAAAAACUGUUUCCAGGAUGCUCAAGUAACAUUUUCCCAGCUAUUUUUUAUGCAUAAUUACUCUUUCUUCCCUAUGCUAAUUUUAUUCCUGUAAAUGUGCCCUCUGGACCAAACAGUGCCUCCCCCAUGGUAACACAACUCUUGACACAUUGGUGAAAAUGAAGGAUGGAAUUUGAUGCAGCGAGGUCAAUCCUUGACCUCUCACCCUUUCUUUCUGAAGCUGAGAACACUCUGCAGCAGUUUCACCAGGUAAAUGCUGUACCCUUCAGUAAAUGAGGAAAUGGCAGCAACAUUUUUGCAGCAAAGUAAAACAGAGGACUGGGAAUAGUUCUUCAGCACAAGGGGAAUGACAGCUGGAAAAGAGCCACUGCUGCUGGACUCCUCAACCUGCCCUAAAUCAGAGCUCAGGCUGAAAUACAGACAAGAAUCAUUAACUGCUCCAAACCCCAGAACAGGGCAGUGUGUGAAGCUGCACUGGGAAUGAUGGGAUGGAUACCAGCACUUCCAGGGAAUGGGACCCUCCUGGCAGGCUGCUCUUGCCAGCAGUGUCCAUCUAGAAUAAUCCACGCAGGGAUGGUUUCCAUACUGCUGUCCAUAUGUUCAUAGCAGCCAUAGCAGAGACAUGACUUCAUGUGCUUUAUAUGGCCCCUCCCAUGGGGAAGAGCAGCUCAGCCUCGACCUCCAGGAAUUCCUUCACUUCUGUGGUGCAGUGAUCCUUCAUCUUCUCCUGUGGCAGCUGCUGGGUUCCUGAGUUUCUUCCCUGGCUUGGACUGACGGCAAGGCAAAGGAAAUAAAACUGGCAGAAUCCCCCGGAUUGCUGCCCCCUCAUAAUCCCUGCUGGAAGGGUGUGGACCAGGAGCAGCAUCCCAACAGAGCCCUGGCUCCAUCCCUCCCAGCCUGAAGAAAUCCAGGAUGGCAACACAGAUCACUAAAUAAA
Molecule: long non-coding RNA, 2279 nt
Organism: Taeniopygia guttata (zebra finch)
Lineage: Eukaryota; Metazoa; Chordata; Aves; Passeriformes; Estrildidae
Source: Ensembl